CAUAGGUUAAUGAGGCGAACCGGGGGAACUGAAACAUCUAAGUACCCCGAGGAAAAGAAAUCAACCGAGAUUCCCCCAGUAGCGGCGAGCGAACGGGGAGCAGCCCAGAGCCUGAAUCAGUGUGUGUGUUAGUGGAAGCGUCUGGAAAGGCGCGCGAUACAGGGUGACAGCCCCGUACACAAAAAUGCACAUACUGUGAGCUCGAUGAGUAGGGCGGGACACGUGGUAUCCUGUCUGAAUAUGGGGGGACCAUCCUCCAAGGCUAAAUACUCCUGACUGACCGAUAGUGAACCAGUACCGUGAGGGAAAGGCGAAAAGAACCCCGGCGAGGGGAGUGAAAAAGAACCUGAAACCGUGUACGUACAAGCAGUGGGAGCACGCUUAGGCGUGUGACUGCGUACCUUUUGUAUAAUGGGUCAGCGACUUAUAUUCUGUAGCAAGGUUAACCGAAUAGGGGAGCCGAAGGGAAACCGAGUCUUAACUGGGCGUUAAGUUGCAGGGUAUAGACCCGAAACCCGGUGAUCUAGCCAUGGGCAGGUUGAAGGUUGGGUAACACUAACUGGAGGACCGAACCGACUAAUGUUGAAAAAUUAGCGGAUGACUUGUGGCUGGGGGUGAAAGGCCAAUCAAACCGGGAGAUAGCUGGUUCUCCCCGAAAGCUAUUUAGGUAGCGCCUCGUGAAUUCAUCUCCGGGGGUAGAGCACUGUUUCGGCAAGGGGGUCAUCCCGACUUACCAACCCGAUGCAAACUGCGAAUACCGGAGAAUGUUAUCACGGGAGACACACGGCGGGUGCUAACGUCCGUCGUGAAGAGGGAAACAACCCAGACCGCCAGCUAAGGUCCCAAAGUCAUGGUUAAGUGGGAAACGAUGUGGGAAGGCCCAGACAGCCAGGAUGUUGGCUUAGAAGCAGCCAUCAUUUAAAGAAAGCGUAAUAGCUCACUGGUCGAGUCGGCCUGCGCGGAAGAUGUAACGGGGCUAAACCAUGCACCGAAGCUGCGGCAGCGACGCUGAUGCGUUGUUGGGUAGGGGAGCGUUCUGUAAGCCUGUGAAGGUGUGCUGUGAGGCAUGCUGGAGGUAUCAGAAGUGCGAAUGCUGACAUAAGUAACGAUAAAGCGGGUGAAAAGCCCGCUCGCCGGAAGACCAAGGGUUCCUGUCCAACGUUAAUCGGGGCAGGGUGAGUCGACCCCUAAGGCGAGGCCGAAAGGCGUAGUCGAUGGGAAACAGGUUAAUAUUCCUGUACUUGGUGUUACUGCGAAGGGGGGACGGAGAAGGCUA
This 1276-nucleotide ribosomal RNA is filed under the name Escherichia coli. Its description in RNAcentral is "partial 23S ribosomal RNA". It matches the Rfam family "Bacterial large subunit ribosomal RNA", at positions 165 to 1484 of the family's 2925-position model. Lineage: Bacteria; Pseudomonadati; Pseudomonadota; Gammaproteobacteria; Enterobacterales; Enterobacteriaceae. The record is from RNAcentral.